GACGAACGCUGGCGGCGUGCCUAACACAUGCAAGUCGAACGGGGUAGAGAGCUUCGGGUUUUCUACUUAGUGGCGAACGGGUGAGUAACGCGUGAGGAACCUGCCUCUCAGUGGGGGACAACAGUUGGAAACGACUGCUAAUACCGCAUAAUAUGUACGGAUCGCAUGGUCUGUACAUCAAAGAUUUAUUGCUGAGAGAUGGCCUCGCGUCUGAUUAGAUAGUUGGUGAGGUAACGGCUCACCAAGUCGACGAUCAGUAGCCGGUCUGAGAGGAUGAACGGCCACAUUGGGACUGAGAUACGGCCCAGACUCCUACGGGAGGCAGCAGUGGGGAAUAUUGGGCAAUGGGGGAAAUCCUGACCCAGCAACGCCGCGUGAAGGAAGAAGGCCUUCGGGUUGUAAACUUCUUUUACCAGGGACGAACACAAUGACGGUACCUGGAGAAAAAGCAACGGCUAACUACGUG
Molecule: ribosomal RNA, 466 nt
Filed under: uncultured bacterium
Lineage: Bacteria
Description: bacterial SSU rRNA
Rfam family: Bacterial small subunit ribosomal RNA
Source: RNAcentral